This 271-nucleotide RNase P RNA is filed under the name Clostridiales bacterium. RNAcentral's name for it is "partial RNase P RNA component class A". It matches the Rfam family "Bacterial RNase P class A", at positions 87 to 367 of the family's 367-position model. Rfam says of the family: Ribonuclease P (RNase P) is a ubiquitous endoribonuclease, found in archaea, bacteria and eukarya as well as chloroplasts and mitochondria. Its best characterised activity is the generation of mature 5'-ends of tRNAs by cleaving the 5'-leader elements of precursor-tRNAs. The record is from RNAcentral. Lineage: Bacteria; Bacillati; Bacillota; Clostridia; Eubacteriales.
GGUGGGGGCGACCCCAAGGACAGUGCAACAGAAAUAAACCGCCCGGCUGGCGCGCUACACCAGACGGGUAAGGGUGGAAAGGCGAGGUAAGAGCUCACCGGUUCCCCGGCGACGGGGAGUGCUCUGUAAACCCCAUCCGGCGCAAGGUCAAAAAGAAGCGCAGGCGGCCCGUCCAGCUUCGGGUAUGACCGCUAAAGCCUGCCGGCGACGGCAGGCUCAGAUAGAUGACCGUAUGAAAUAACAGAACUCGGCUUACAGGUUUGCUCAAACU